RNAcentral lists this microRNA (23 nucleotides) under Strongyloides ratti. RNAcentral's name for it is "str-miR-7880b-3p". Lineage: Eukaryota; Metazoa; Nematoda; Chromadorea; Rhabditida; Strongyloididae. The record is from miRBase by way of RNAcentral.
UUUGCGACCGAAUCCAGGCCACG